Molecule: long non-coding RNA, 101 nt
Organism: Alosa sapidissima (American shad)
Lineage: Eukaryota; Metazoa; Chordata; Actinopteri; Clupeiformes; Clupeidae
Exons: 3
Source: RefSeq, a predicted model, not a curated record
CUGGCCUGUAGGGGGCCGGAGGCUAGUGAUGGCGAACUGAAGCUUUCUGAACCAGUGAAGCUUUCAAUCCAAUUGUAUCGAAAAAAGGUUCAGUACUUGAA